GAGUUUGAUCAUGGCUCAGAUUGAACGCUGGCGGCAGGCUUAACACAUGCAAGUCGAACGAUGAUUACUAGCUUGCUAGUAUGAUUAGUGGCGAACGGGUGAGUAAUGCUUAGGAAUCUGCCUAUUAGUGGGGGACAACAUUCCGAAAGGAAUGCUAAUACCGCAUACGUCCUACGGGAGAAAGCAGGGGAUCUUUUGACCUUGCGCUAAUAGAUGAGCCUAAGUCGGAUUAGCUAGUUGGUGGGGUAAAGGCCUACCAAGGCGACGAUCUGUAGCUGGUCUGAGAGGAUGAUCAGCCACACUGGGACUGAGACACGGCCCAGACUCCUACGGGAGGCAGCAGUGGGGAAUAUUGGACAAUGGGCGAAAGCCUGAUCCAGCCAUGCCGCGUGUGUGAAGAAGGCCUUUUGGUUGUAAAGCACUUUAAGUGGGGAGGAAAAGCUAAUAAUUAAUACCCUAUUAGCCCUGACCGUACCCACA
This 480-nucleotide ribosomal RNA is filed under the name Moraxella sp. canine oral taxon 017. RNAcentral's name for it is "bacterial SSU rRNA". It matches the Rfam family "Bacterial small subunit ribosomal RNA", at positions 9 to 483 of the family's 1533-position model. Lineage: Bacteria; Pseudomonadati; Pseudomonadota; Gammaproteobacteria; Moraxellales; Moraxellaceae. The record is from RNAcentral.